CGAGUACAACGAGACGCGAGGCCGCGAGGUGGANCAAAUCUCNNNAACUCGUCCCAGUUGGGAUUNCAGGCUGAAACUCGCCUGCAUGAAGCCGGAGUUGCUAGUAAUCGCGAAUCAGAAUGUCGCGGUGAANACGUUCCCCGGGUCUUGUACACNCCGCCCGUCACACCAUGAGAGUUGGCAAUACCCGAAGUCCGUGAGGUAACGCGCAAGCGAGCCAGCGGCCGAAGGUAGGGUCAGCGAUUGGGGUGAAGUCGUAACAAGUAACC
RNAcentral lists this ribosomal RNA (269 nucleotides) under unidentified soil organism R6-51. Its description in RNAcentral is "partial 16S ribosomal RNA". It matches the Rfam family "Bacterial small subunit ribosomal RNA", at positions 1234 to 1500 of the family's 1533-position model. The record is from RNAcentral.